GUCGACUAGCUCAGCUGGUUAGAGCGUGGUGCUAAUAGAACUCAUCUGUUAACGCCAAGGUCGUGAGUUCGAUCCUCGGCAAGUGAACU
This is a non-coding RNA of Periconia digitata, 89 nucleotides long. Lineage: Eukaryota; Fungi; Ascomycota; Dothideomycetes; Pleosporales; Periconiaceae. The record is from the annotation of a GenBank genome assembly.